CCCUUAGAUGUUCUGGGCCGCACGCGUGCUACACUGAUGCAUUCAACGAGUCUAAAACCUGGUCUGAUAGGGCUGGGUAAUCUUUUGAAAGUGCAUCGUGAUUGGGAUAGAUGAUUGCAAUUCUUCAUCUUCAACGAGGAAUGCCUAGUAAACGCAAGUCAUCAGCUUGCAUUGAUUACAUCCCUGCCCUUUGUACACACCGCCCGUCGCUCCUACCGAUUGAAUGAUCCGAUGAAUACCAUGGAUUGAGAGUACGAAUAGGUUCGCUUAUUUCUGCUGCUCGAGAAGUGGAGUAAAUCUUAUCAUUUAGAGGAAGGAGAAGUCGUAACA
Molecule: ribosomal RNA, 330 nt
Filed under: uncultured eukaryote
Lineage: Eukaryota
Description: partial 18S ribosomal RNA
Rfam family: Eukaryotic small subunit ribosomal RNA
Source: RNAcentral